RNAcentral lists this ribosomal RNA (482 nucleotides) under Copelatus sp. MB055. RNAcentral's name for it is "partial 16S ribosomal RNA". It matches the Rfam family "Bacterial large subunit ribosomal RNA", at positions 1857 to 2596 of the family's 2925-position model. Lineage: Eukaryota; Metazoa; Arthropoda; Insecta; Coleoptera; Dytiscidae. The record is from RNAcentral.
ACCUGCCCACUGAUUUAUUGAAUGGCCGCAGUAAUUUGACUGUGCAAAGGUAGCAUAAUCAUUAGUUUUUUAAUUGAAAGCUAGAAUGAAUGGUUGGACGAAAUAAUUUCUGUCUCUAUUUAAAUUAUUUUAGAAUUUAAUUUUUGAGUUAAAAAGCUUAAAUUUUUGUAAAAGACGAGAAGACCCUAUAGAUCUUUAUGAUUUUUUUAUAUAGUUUUAUUUAAGUAUAUUAUAUUAUUUAUAUGAUUGAUUAUUUUAUUGGGGUAAUAGGGAGAUUAAAUUAAUUCUUUUUUUUGUUAAAUAUAUGUUAAUAGAUAAAUGAUCCAAUUUUUUUGAUUAUAAGAAUAAGUUACCUUAGGGAUAACAGCGUAAUUUUUUUUGAGAGUUCAUAUCGAUAAAAAAGUUUGCGACCUCGAUGUUGGAUUAAAAAUUAUUUUAGGUGUAGAAGUCUAAAAAUUUGGUCUGUUCGACCAUUAAAUUUU